ACCUGGCUGGCUCAGUUGAUAAAGCAUGUGACUCUCGAUCUCUGAAUGGUGAGUUUGAGCCUCAUGUUGGGUG
RNAcentral lists this transfer RNA (73 nucleotides) under Felis catus (domestic cat). It matches the Rfam family "tRNA". Rfam says of the family: Transfer RNA (tRNA) molecules are approximately 80 nucleotides in length. Their secondary structure includes four short double-helical elements and three loops (D, anti-codon, and T loops). Lineage: Eukaryota; Metazoa; Chordata; Mammalia; Carnivora; Felidae. The record is from Rfam by way of RNAcentral.